This 819-nucleotide ribosomal RNA is filed under the name uncultured bacterium. RNAcentral describes it as "bacterial SSU rRNA". It matches the Rfam family "Bacterial small subunit ribosomal RNA", at positions 36 to 863 of the family's 1533-position model. The record is from RNAcentral.
CUGCGGCUGCUACCAUGCAAGUCGAACGGUAACAGGAAGAAGCUUGCUUCUUUGCUGACGAGUGGCCCGACGGGUGAGUAAUGUCUGGGAAACUGCCUGAUGGAGGGGGAUAACUACUGGAAACGGUAGCUAAUACCGCAUAACGUCGCAAGACCAAAGAGGGGGACCUUCGGGCCUCUUGCCAUCGGAUGUGCCCAGAUGGGAUUAGCUAGUAGGUGGGGUAACGGCUCACCUAGGCGACGAUCCCUAGCUGGUCUGAGAGGAUGACCAGCCACACUGGAACUGAGACACGGUCCAGACUCCUACGGGAGGCAGCAGUGGGGAAUAUUGCACAAUGGGCGCAAGCCUGAUGCAGCCAUGCCGCGUGUAUGAAGAAGGCCUUCGGGUUGUAAAGUACUUUCAGCGGGGAGGAAGGGAGUAAAGUUAAUACCUUUGCUCAUUGACGUUACCCGCAGAAGAAGCACCGGCUAACUCCGUGCCAGCAGCCGCGGUAAUACGGAGGGUGCAAGCGUUAAUCGGAAUUACUGGGCGUAAAGCGCACGCAGGCGGUUUGUUAAGUCAGAUGUGAAAUCCCCGGGCUCAACCUGGGAACUGCAUCUGAUACUGGCAAGCUUGAGUCUCGUAGAGGGGGGUAGAAUUCCAGGUGUAGCGGUGAAAUGCGUAGAGAUCUGGAGGAAUACCGGUGGCGAAGCGGCCCCCUGGACGAGACUGACGCUCAGUGCGAAAGCGUGGGGGAGCAACAGAUUAGAUACCUGUAGUCACGCCGUAACGAUGUCGACUUGAGUGUGCCUUGAGCGUGCUUCGGAGCUAACGCGUUAA